This is a long non-coding RNA of Haplochromis burtoni (Burton's mouthbrooder), 2538 nucleotides long. RefSeq lists it as uncharacterized. The record is from RefSeq and is a predicted model, not a curated record. The transcript has 3 exons. NCBI's taxonomy places the organism in Eukaryota, Metazoa, Chordata, Actinopteri, Cichliformes, Cichlidae.
GCUAGGCGUACGGUGAAAAGAAACGUUCUUUGGGACAUGGCUAAAGGCUGGAAAAUACAUGUAUAAUAGCAUCUCUAACCUUUACAUAUUGUUUAUAUUCUUUGCCUUGACAGUAUGGUUCAGGGCUGUUUGCUAUGAGGUGAUUGUCUCCUGUAGGGGGGUCAAGCAUGGUAAAGGUCAUGCAGGUGGGGAGUUGUCAGAUGGCUGUCCACCCCUCACUGGGCCAAGGGGCUCUCGUGCCGCCUGUCAAAGCCUGUGGCGAAGCAGGGAGAAGAAAGGGUGUCUGGAGACGACGUGUGCCAUGCUGUCUUGGCCCCGCCCCUGGCUGCCGUGCCAGCAGUUCUAGGAGACUGACUGUGUAUCGGUGUAUCACCCGCAUCCAUCUCUCUAACCUCCAGCCCUGCCUUCCCUCAUCCCCACGAGAGGGAGCAGCAGAUCAAGAAAAGGGGAAAGAUUCGUGGAAGGAGGGAGGGAGGGAGCGAAAGAGAAGUGUUUCUGUAUCCCAAAGGAUUGGUCUCUGUCUGUCUAAAUCAGGAAGUGAGAAUGUGACGGCAGGAGAGACAGAGCAGAGACAUCCUUUCAGUGUGUGUGUGUGCACCUUGUUGAGCUGAGGUGUCAUAUAUGUGAAGAUCACAGCUUCACGCUGGUGGCAACCAGGGAUGAUGCUCUAAAUCACUGAAAUGCCAGAGACAACCGUUGUGAUAUGGGCCGUGUCUGUGUGUGUUUGUGCACGUGAAUGUCUUUUGGGACGUUUGAUGGAGAUUAAUACUACUUUUAGAGUCCAAAAGUGAAAAUGUUAUCUAGUAUGUCACCUUGGGAAAAAAAAAGUGUGUGACAUUGUCUGAUAUAGACACACACACUCACUUGCACAAGUGGUCUAGAUCACCAGUUCUCAGCCUUUUGUGUCUAGUGUAUUUGAAAAGCCUGAAAAGUGAACUGAAGCACCCCUUCACUGACCAUCCAUGAAACUCUCAUGUUGAAAAUGUGAUCAUUUUAAUUGAUUUUUUUUGUUAUUUAACAACAAUAAUAAUUUAAAGCACAAAUAGUAGCCUCGAUUUUUCAAGCAUGCAUCUAUUCAUUUUAAUUCCCAUGAUAUUUAUUUUCAUUACAACCAUUUGUCCAUGCUUUUUUAUGUAAAUGUAAACAAAUAAACAAAACACUACUAUGUUUUGUUUAUGUUUUAUUUUGGUUAUCUAUAAAUAUUCUCCCCAUCUUACUAAGUUUGGUUGGGAAUCACAUUAUUCAUAAUGCUCACUAUCCCCAGCAUAUGCACCCACACACAAACACACCUAGCAACAUAACAUUCGCUGCCUUCCUUGGAUGAAUAAUUAGAUGGACACGGAGCUGUCUCUCUGUUUUCCCCUCACACAUUAAGCCACAUGAAUGUAGGCCAACUCACUGUCGACUUCACUUGCCUCUCAUCACAAUCAAAACAACACAUAGAUGUUGUCUUCUCUUGUUCAUCAACCUCUGUCUAUCCCUUGUUACCUCUAUCUAUCUUUAACUUUCUUUUUCAUGAGGUGUGAGUCACAAAGAAUUGUCUUGCAGAUCAGCAGCACAACUGUCCCCGAGAAGAGGCAACAUACACAGACUCUCACACGCUGACGUUGAUAUAGUCAUAGUCACAUCAUUAUAUCUGCAUUAGCAGGGAAAGCCCUUCACGCUCCAACACCUACAUGCCUUCAGUGCAGCGUCUCAUGUGUGUUGUAACUGAUUUACAGUGUCCCUGUUCUAUCUUGACAGAUCAUGCUCAGGAAAUAUGUAGUACAUGGCAUAUUAUGUUUGUGUCAUAUACUUUAUAUAUAGCAUAGCUCUGACUUUUGAAUACAUUUCUUUAAUUGAGACCAAGAAAUAACCAGAAAAGUUGGUGUAUUGAGAUAAAAGGAAUAUAUAUAAGCGGCACGGAAAGCUGCUUUUAUAGUUGCUAUUUAAGCACGGUUAUAAAGUUUGCUGAAUAAUGAAAGAAAAAAAAAAAAAACGCAACUAAAGACAAAAAUGUCUUAUUCAAAUUCAAAUGGGAAUUUAUACCCAGCACAUCAUUUUGACAAAUUCCUACACCUUUAUUUUUAUCCUUUUUAGCAUUUUAUCUAAAAGACAAUGAGAAUUGUGGCGAUUUGGACACAAAAUGUAAAUUAUAACCAUGGAUAAUAAUGAUAUUCCACUAUUUAUGCCACAUCUUACAUACUGAGCUCCUUUUGAUUGACUUAAAACCCCCAUUUGAUGGCAAAUCUAGUUCUUUGUAACUAACAAAGUUAUCAUUAAUGUAAAACUGGAAUGAGUUCAACUGAGACACUGUCGUGUGCAAAAGCCACAUUUUUGCAUGCUCAUGUUAUAAAUCUAUCACUUUGAAUAGCAAAUAAGAGUAAAGUACAGACCAGACAAAAAUCCUCUAUCACUAAAAGGUAUAAUACACAAAUACAGGCAAACAUAUGAAAAAUGGGUUAUGUGACUGGGCCAUUACCUAAAGCAAGGUAAAGCAAGACAACAGAUGAAAUAUUGAGAAGGGACAGGGGAGCACUUGGCAUUUUGGGCACGCAC